UUGCCUGGCAACACCGAGGUCUGGCCACCUUGCUGAGGUCUGGCCUGGAAGCCAUGCUGCGACCUGCUCCAUCCACCACAGUGCUCUCAUCCUCUGCGGUGGCACCAGCUGCCCUCAACCGCCUGCAGAGCUUGGAAAAAUGUUUGAAAAAUGAAGAUAUUUCGUUCAGUGGAGAAAUUGUGCAGCGUCUUGAAGAUACUAUUGUUGCUAUUAAGAAAUUGGAAGAAAUUCGAAGACGUACCCUUGAAUGCCUAGAAGAGGAGACUAUAAAAAAACAGCAAUCUUUGCUUCACAAUACAGAAUUUUUCAGGAGAGAAUAUUAAAGAGAUGACA
This is a long non-coding RNA of Neopsephotus bourkii (Bourke's parrot), 333 nucleotides long. RefSeq lists it as uncharacterized. NCBI's taxonomy places the organism in Eukaryota, Metazoa, Chordata, Aves, Psittaciformes, Psittacidae. The transcript is spliced from 3 exons. The record is from RefSeq and is a predicted model, not a curated record.